AGGAAGAAGCUUGCUUCUUUGCUGACGAGUGGCGGACGGGUGAGUAAUGCUUGGGAAUCUGGCUUAUGGAGGGGGGUAACUACGGGAAACUGUAGCUAAUACCGCGUAGACUCGGGAGAGUAAAGUGUGGGACCGUAAGGCCACAUGCCAUAAGAUGAGCCCAAGUGGGAUUAGGUAGUUGGUGGGGUAAAGGCCUACCAAGCCGACGAUCUCUAGCUGGUCUGAGAGGAUGACCAGCCACACUGGAACUGAGACACGGUCCAGACUCCUACGGGAGGCAGCAGUGGGGAAUAUUGCGCAAUGGGGGAAACCCUGACGCAGCCAUGCCGCGUGAAUGAAGAAGGCCUUCGGGUUGUAAAGUUCUUUCGGUGAUGAGGAAGGCAAGUGAGUAAAUAGCUUACUUGAUUGACGUUAAUCACAGAAGAAGCACCGGCUAACUCCGUGCCAGCAGCCGCGGUAAUACGGAGGGUGCGAGCGUUAAUCGGAAUAACUGGGCGUAAAGGGCACGCAGGCGGCUAUUUAAGUGAGAUGUGAAAUCCCCGAGCUUAACUUGGGAAUUGCAUUUCAGACUGGGUAGCUAGAGUACUUUAGGGAGGGGUAGAAUUCCACGUGUAGCGGUGAAAUGCGUAGAGAUGUGGAGGAAUACCGAAGGCGAAGGCAGCCCCUUGGGAAUGUACUGACGCUCAUGUGCGAAAGCGUGGGGAGCAAACAGGAUUAGAUACCCUGGUAGUCCACGCUGUAAACGAUGUCGAUUUGGGGAUUGGGCUUUAAGCUUGGUGCCCGAAGCU
This 788-nucleotide ribosomal RNA is filed under the name uncultured bacterium. RNAcentral's name for it is "SSU rRNA". It matches the Rfam family "Bacterial small subunit ribosomal RNA", at positions 70 to 853 of the family's 1533-position model. The record is from RNAcentral.